This 73-nucleotide transfer RNA is filed under the name Wenjunlia vitaminophila. Its description in RNAcentral is "Streptomyces vitaminophilus tRNA". It matches the Rfam family "tRNA". Rfam says of the family: Transfer RNA (tRNA) molecules are approximately 80 nucleotides in length. Their secondary structure includes four short double-helical elements and three loops (D, anti-codon, and T loops). Further hydrogen bonds mediate the characteristic L-shaped molecular structure. tRNAs have two regions of fundamental functional importance: the anti-codon, which is responsible for specific mRNA codon recognition, and the 3' end, to which the tRNAs corresponding amino acid is attached (by aminoacyl-tRNA synthetases). tRNAs cope with the degeneracy of the genetic code in two manners: having more than one tRNA (with a specific anti-codon) for a particular amino acid; and 'wobble' base-pairing, i.e. permitting non-standard base-pairing at the 3rd anti-codon position. The record is from Rfam by way of RNAcentral. Lineage: Bacteria; Bacillati; Actinomycetota; Actinomycetes; Kitasatosporales; Streptomycetaceae.
GCCCGGGUCGCUCAACGGCAGAAGCAACCGCCUUAAAAGCGGACAAGUGCGGGUUCGAAUCCCGCCCCGGGCA